GACGAACGCUGGCGGCGUGCUUAACACAUGCAAGUCGAACGGAAAGGCCCUGCUUUUGUGGGGUGCUCGAGUGGCGAACGGGUGAGUAACACGUGAGUAACCUGCCCUUGACUUUGGGAUAACUUCAGGAAACUGGGGCUAAUACCGGAUAGGAGCUCCUGCUGCAUGGUGGGGGUUGGAAAGUUUCGGCGGUUGGGGAUGGACUCGCGGCUUAUCAGCUUGUUGGUGUGGUAGUGGCUUACCAAGGGUUUGACGGGUAGCCGGCCUGAGAGGGUGACCGGCCACAUUGGGACUGAGGUACGGACCAGACUCCUACGGGCGGCAGCAGUGGGGAAUAUUGCACAAUGGGCGGAAGCCUGAUGCAGCAACGCCGCGUGCGGGAUGACGGCCUUCGGGUUGUAAACCGCUUUCGCCUGUGACGAAGCGUGAGUGACGGUAAUGGGUAAAGAAGCACCGGCUAACUACGUG
Molecule: ribosomal RNA, 468 nt
Filed under: uncultured bacterium
Lineage: Bacteria
Description: partial 16S ribosomal RNA
Rfam family: Bacterial small subunit ribosomal RNA
Source: RNAcentral